GAUGAACGCUGGCGGCGUGCCUAACACAUGCAAGUCGAGCGAGACGGUUACCAUUGAUCCUUCGGGUGAUUUAGUAACUAGACAGCGGCGGACGGGUGAGUAACGCGUGGGUAACCUGCCUUGUACUGGGGGAUAACGUUUUGAAAAGAACGCUAAUACCGCAUAAGCGCACAGCAUCGCAUGAUGCCGUGUGAAAAACUCCGGUGGUACAAGAUGGACCCGCGUCAGAUUAGCUAGUUGGUGAGAUAAAAGCUCACCAAGGCGACGAUCUGUAGCCGACCUGAGAGGGUGAUCGGCCACAUUGGGACUGAGACACGGCCCAAACUCCUACGGGAGGCAGCAGUGGGGAAUAUUGCACAAUGGGGGAAACCCUGAUGCAGCGACGCCGCGUGAAGGAUGAAGGAUUUCGGUUCGUAAACUUCUAUCAGCAGGGAAGAUAGUGACUGUACCUGACUAAGAAGCCCCGGCUAACUACG
Molecule: ribosomal RNA, 476 nt
Filed under: uncultured Lachnospiraceae bacterium
Lineage: Bacteria; Bacillati; Bacillota; Clostridia; Lachnospirales; Lachnospiraceae
Description: bacterial SSU rRNA
Rfam family: Bacterial small subunit ribosomal RNA
Source: RNAcentral